ACGGCUCAGUAACACGUGGACAACCUACCCUUAGGUCGGGAAUAAACCCGGGAAACUGGGUAUAAUACCCGAUAGUCCUCGGAUGCUGGAAUGCACCGAGGUCUAAAGCUCCGGCGCCUAAGGAUGGGUCUGCGGCCUAUCAGGUAGUAGUGGGUGUAGCGUACCUACUAGCCUACGACGGGUACGGGUUGUGAGAGCAAGAGCCCGGAGAUGGAUUCUGAGACACGAAUCCAGGCCCUACGGGGUGCAGCAGGCGCGAAAACUUUACAAUGCUGGAAACAGCGAUAAGGGGACCUCGAGUGCCAGGUUACAAAUCUGGCUGUCGUGAUGCCUAAAAAGCAUUGCAUAGCAAGGGCCGGGCAAGACCGGUGCCAGCCGCCGCGGUAACACCGGCGGCUCGAGUGGUAACCGCUAUUAUUGGGUCUAAAGGGUCUGUAGCCGGCCGGAUAAGUCUUUUGGGAAAUCUGGCAGCUUAACUGUCAGGCUUUCAGAGGAUACUGUCUGGCUCGAGGCCGGGAGAGGUGAGAGGUACUUCAGGGGUAGGGGUGAAAUCUUGUAAUCCUUGAAGGACCACCAGUGGCGAAGGCGUCUCACCAGAACGGACCUGACGGCAAGGGACGAAAGCUAGGGGCACGAACCGGAUUAGAUACCCGGGUAGUCCUAGCCGUAAACGAUACUCGCUAGGUGUCGGCCACGGUGCGACCGUUGUCGGUGCCGUAGGGAAGCCGUGAAGCGAGCCACCUGGGAAGUACGGCCGCAAGGCUGAAACUUAAAGGAAUUGGCGGGGAAGCAC
Molecule: ribosomal RNA, 793 nt
Filed under: uncultured archaeon
Lineage: Archaea
Description: bacterial SSU rRNA
Rfam family: Archaeal small subunit ribosomal RNA
Source: RNAcentral